This 1118-nucleotide long non-coding RNA is filed under the name Sarcophilus harrisii (Tasmanian devil). Its description in RNAcentral is "lncRNA (ENSSHAG00000023432.1)". Lineage: Eukaryota; Metazoa; Chordata; Mammalia; Dasyuromorphia; Dasyuridae. The record is from RNAcentral.
AUGUAAUUGGGAAAUUAUUAGCAAAAUAAAUAUUCAUUAAACAUAGGUUAUAGUAAAUUAAUUAAUGGUUUUCUAGGUUAUAUUAAUAUAAUAAAUUAAUGAUUUUCUAAGUCAAUAUAUGGCUUUCAGGGACCCAUUUCUAUCUGACUAUGACACUACUGAUCUAGUCCAAUCUCCUUAUUUCGUAGAUGGUGGAGGAAAAAUUGGUUCAGAGAGAUCAUAUGAUCUGCUUAAGGUUGAAUUCAUUUGUCAAAUGCAAAGAGUGGAUUACAUGGUCUCAGAAGUUAUUUUCAGCUCUAACUCUACACUCCUAAAAUAUUAAACUCCAUCAGUAGAAGCUUAGGAUCCAGCAUGAGAGACGUCUUAUUGCACCCUGCCCUGAUCAAGCUAAUUUGGAAGGAAACAGCAUCUGGAACGUGUCCAAAGGAAGGAGAAUAGGAUUUUGAGGGUCUUGGGAACCAUGCCAUAAGAAGAUCAGUGGAAAGAACUGGGAAUGUUUAGCCCAGAGAAGUGAAGACUUGGGAAGAAAUAAUCUUUUUUUUACAUAUAUUUGAUUGUUUUCCUGUAGAAGAGGGAUUAUAUUUACUCUGUUCAGUCCCAGAUGAGAGAAUUAUGGCCAACGGGUAGAAACUAUGGGGCAAAUAAGUUUUAGUUCAAUAAAAGAAUUUCCAACAAUUAGGAAUGUCCCAUAAUAGAAUAGGCUUAUCUCAGAAGUAGACAUUAUCCUGUAAGUGGCUAAAAGAACACAUAUACAGGGAAUUAAGGUUUCUGAUGAGGCUUUAGUUUGGAUGACUUCAGAAAUCCAAUCAUGUGCUAUGAUUGUAAGAGAAUUUGAUUCCUGGAGUACUAGGGAGAGAGGAUAUAGAGUUGAGAAAGCCCACAAACAUAAAAAAUCCAACCUUGACAAGUCACUUUAACUUCAUGGUACCUUAAUAUCUUCAUCUGUAAAAUGAGGGGAUUGGACUAGCUGAUUUCUAAAGUCUCUUCAUAUUCUGUAUCAAUGAUCUACGAUCUCAUGAAAUUCUGUUCAAUAUUUAUGUUUUCCCUCCCCAUUCAUUUUCUAAAGACCAAGGACAACUAUCAUUCAAUGUUCCACCUCUCCCUCUUCACUUUCCUAG